This 1556-nucleotide ribosomal RNA is filed under the name Listeria seeligeri. RNAcentral's name for it is "partial 23S ribosomal RNA". It matches the Rfam family "Bacterial large subunit ribosomal RNA", at positions 1 to 1549 of the family's 2925-position model. Lineage: Bacteria; Bacillati; Bacillota; Bacilli; Caryophanales; Listeriaceae. The record is from RNAcentral.
UUGGUUAAGUUAGAAAGGGCGCACGGUGGAUGCCUUGGCACUAGGAGCCGAAGAAGGACGGGACUAACACCGAUAUGCUUUGGGGAGCUGUACGUAAGCGUUGAUCCAGAGAUUUCCGAAUGGGGGAACCCACUAUCUUUAGUCGGAUAGUAUCCUUACGUGAAUACAUAGCGUGAGGAAGGCAGACCCAGGGAACUGAAACAUCUAAGUACCUGGAGGAAGAGAAAGAAAAAUCGAUUUCCUGAGUAGCGGCGAGCGAAACGGAAAGAGCCCAAACCAAGAAGCUUGCUUCUUGGGGUUGUAGGACACUCUAUACGGAGUUACAAAAGAAAGUUAUAAAUGAAGCGGUCUGGAAAGGCCCGCCAAAGACGGUAACAGCCCGGUAGUUGAAAUAGCUUUCCCUCCAGAGUGGAUCCUGAGUACGGCGGAACACGUGAAAUUCCGUCGGAAUCCGGGAGGACCAUCUCCCAAGGCUAAAUACUCCCUAGUGACCGAUAGUGAACCAGUACCGUGAGGGAAAGGUGAAAAGCACCCCGGAAGGGGAGUGAAACAGUUCCUGAAACCGUGUGCCUACAAGUAGUUAGAGCCCGUUAAUGGGUGAUAGCGUGCCUUUUGUAGAAUGAACCGGCGAGUUACGAUUUGUUGCAAGGUUAAGCGGAAAAAGCGGAGCCGUAGCGAAAGCGAGUCUGAAUAGGGCGAAUAAGUAACAGGUCGUAGACCCGAAACCAGGUGAUCUACCCAUGUCCAGGAUGAAGGUAAGGUAAUACUUACUGGAGGUCCGAACCCACGCACGUUGAAAAGUGCGGGGAUGAGGUGUGGGUAGCGGAGAAAUUCCAAUCGAACUUGGAGAUAGCUGGUUCUCUCCGAAAUAGCUUUAGGGCUAGCCUCGAGGUAAAGAGUCAUGGAGGUAGAGCACUGUUUGGACUAGGGGCCCUUCUCGGGUUACCGAAUUCAGAUAAACUCCGAAUGCCAUGUACUUAUACUCGGGAGUCAGACUGCGAGUGAUAAGAUCCGUAGUCGAAAGGGAAACAGCCCAGACCACCAGUUAAGGUCCCCAAAUAUAUGUUAAGUGGAAAAGGAUGUGGGGUUGCUUAGACAACCAGGAUGUUGGCUUAGAAGCAGCCACCAUUGAAAGAGUGCGUAAUAGCUCACUGGUCGAGUGACCCCGCGCCGAAAAUGUACCGGGGCUAAACAUAUUACCGAAACUGUGGAUGAACCUCUUUAGAGGUUCGUGGUAGGAGAGCGUUCUAAGGGCGGUGAAGUCAGACCGGAAGGACUGGUGGAGCGCUUAGAAGUGAGAAUGCCGGUAUGAGUAGCGAAAGAAGGGUGAGAAUCCCUUCCACCGAAUAUCUAAGGUUUCCUGAGGAAGGCUCGUCCGCUCAGGGUUAGUCGGGACCUAAGCCGAGGCCGAUAGGCGUAGGCGAUGGACAACAGGUAGAGAUUCCUGUACCAGUGCUAAUUGUUUAACCGAUGGGGUGACACAGAAGGAUAGGGAAUCGCACGAAUGGAAAUGUGCGUCCAAGCAGUGAGUGUGAGAAGUAGGCAAAUCCGCUUCU